RNAcentral lists this non-coding RNA (519 nucleotides) under Hungatella hathewayi WAL-18680. RNAcentral describes it as "Clostridium hathewayi WAL-18680 Bacterial small subunit ribosomal RNA". It matches the Rfam family "Bacterial small subunit ribosomal RNA", at positions 1014 to 1533 of the family's 1533-position model. The record is from Rfam by way of RNAcentral. Lineage: Bacteria; Bacillati; Bacillota; Clostridia; Lachnospirales; Lachnospiraceae.
UUCCCUUCGGGGCAGGGGUGACAGGUGGUGCAUGGUUGUCGUCAGCUCGUGUCGUGAGAUGUUGGGUUAAGUCCCGCAACGAGCGCAACCCUUAUCCUUAGUAGCCAGCAGUCAGAUGGGAACUCUAGGGAGACUGCCAGGGAUAACCUGGAGGAAGGUGGGGAUGACGUCAAAUCAUCAUGCCCCUUAUGAUUUGGGCUACACACGUGCUACAAUGGCGUAAACAAAGGGAAGCGAAACCGCGAGGUCAAGCAAAUCCCAAAAAUAACGUCUCAGUUCGGAUUGUAGUCUGCAACUCGACUACAUGAAGCUGGAAUCGCUAGUAAUCGCGAAUCAGAAUGUCGCGGUGAAUACGUUCCCGGGUCUUGUACACACCGCCCGUCACACCAUGGGAGUCGAUAACGCCCGAAGUCAGUGACCCAACCUUAUAGGAGGGAGCUGCCGAAGGCGGGAUUGAUAACUGGGGUGAAGUCGUAACAAGGUAGCCGUAUCGGAAGGUGCGGCUGGAUCACCUCCUUU